Salvelinus sp. IW2-2015 is the source of this 1661-nucleotide RNA transcript. It is a transcript of the gene named akirin 2, with no coding region annotated. The record is from RefSeq and is a predicted model, not a curated record. NCBI's taxonomy places the organism in Eukaryota, Metazoa, Chordata, Actinopteri, Salmoniformes, Salmonidae.
AAUGUAAAAUGAACGUUGUUUUUGACGCCAUGUUGGUUGUCAUCAAGGAGAGAAUUUGACGACGGUGCUGGGAGAAGGAAAUACUUGUCCGAAAUCUACUGUCAUCUGGUUUUAUAUGAUAAUUCACAUACACUAAUUGAUUGGAUGAAUUUCUACUAAGAUUAGGUCAUUACAGGGUCUGCGUUUUGGAUGGUAUUAAGACUCGAGAGGCGAAAAAUCGAAGUCAUCUGUUCAUAACCUGAAUUUUCCCUUGAGGGUAGUCGGAGAAGAAAGCCAGCGGAGGGACCCAGUCACAGGAGUUCUGGUGUGCCCUCUGAUAGCGAAAACCACAGCUUUAUCUCGUUUUUAUAGAUCCAUAAUAUUGUCAACGGAAUGGCUUGUGGGGCUACUUUGAAAAGGACUAUGGAUUUCGAUCCAUUGAUGAACCAGGCGUCCCCCAAAAGGAGGAGGUGCACCCCAAUGUCUCAAGCCGCCUCGACCUCAUCACCCCAGAAAUAUCUGCGUAUGGAGCCCUCACCAUUUGGAGAAGUGUCGUCCAGACUCACAACGGAGCAAAUCCUGCACAAUAUCAAGCAAGAGUACAAGCGGAUGCAGAAGCGAAGGCACCUGGAGAACAGCUUUCAGCAGACCGAGGGCUGUUGUCCCCUGGAGUCACAACCCCAUAGCUCCAUCCUUAAUGGAUCCAGUCUGCCAGGAACAUCUUCUGGUGCCAUCUCCCCAUCUAGAAAAGAGCAACCUCUAUUUACCUUGAGACAGGUUGGGAUGAUCUGUGAACGACUACUUAAAGAACGAGAGGAGAAGAUAAGGGAAGAAUAUGACGAAAUAUUGACAACAAAACUAGCAGACCUUUUUCUCUCUUUUUGCAGAGCAAUAUGAUGCUUUCGUUAAGUUCACUCACGAUCAGCUAAUGCGGCGAUUUGGAGAGCAACCUGCUAGCUAUGUUUCCUGAGUGAAGCCUCAUAUUUGAUGGAAUACCAAUUUCCCAUUUUAUUAUUGCUAAAAGCUUCCCAUUUGAUUCUCUGCCAACCGUAUUCUCCAGAGACUCAGGGGCUCUAGUUGGACUUGUAGCAGUGCCAUAUCUCCCCUGUGGGCUUAGGAUGCCUCAAGCUUCUGUCAGUGGCAACUACGUUCUCUUCGGCGACUGGUAUUUGUGCUGCGGCCUAAAUGGCACCCAAUUUACUACUUUUGGCCAGCGCCCAUAGAGCUACGGUCAAAAUUAGUGCACUAUAUAUAAAAUAGGGUGCCAUUUUGGAUGAAGCCUUGGAGUGCUUCCUGCUGUCAACACAUAUAUGGACCUCUGCUACCUAUUACUCUACCAGUGGCCUCCGUUGUUUUAAUUGCUGUAUUGAUAUUUAUUAGGCUUUUUUUCUUAGGCCUUUUUAUAAAGUGACCUGCCAUUCCCAACUCUGCUAACCUCGUCUUAGAUCUGUUUGUGCUCUUUCCAACUACAUUGCUGUCCUUGUCAAGCUAAGACAAUGAGUGACAAGGAGUUGGCAUUAUAGCCCAAACAGACUGGCACUCAGGCUACAACUCUGCCACCACACAUUUAGAUUUAUCUUGUUCCAUAAACAUGUUUCUUUGUUUCAACAAUGAUGAGACACACCUUUUUUUAUUUUAAUCAAAUCAACCUGUACAGUUGGGAGGGGUGGUCCACUACAAAA